UCCCUGAUGGUCUAGCGGUUAGGAUUCCUGGUUUUCACCCAGGUGGCCGGGUUCAACUCCCGGUCAGGGAG
RNAcentral lists this transfer RNA (71 nucleotides) under Rodentolepis nana. Its description in RNAcentral is "Hymenolepis nana tRNA". It matches the Rfam family "tRNA". Rfam says of the family: Transfer RNA (tRNA) molecules are approximately 80 nucleotides in length. The record is from Rfam by way of RNAcentral. Lineage: Eukaryota; Metazoa; Platyhelminthes; Cestoda; Cyclophyllidea; Hymenolepididae.